GCUGAUAUGGCCGAGUCGUUAAGGCGAGUGAUUUGAAUUCACAUCAUCACUUGGGCAUUGCCCGCGUAGGUUCAAAUCCUGCUGUCAGCG
Suillus luteus is the source of this 90-nucleotide transfer RNA. It matches the Rfam family "tRNA". From Rfam's summary of the family: Transfer RNA (tRNA) molecules are approximately 80 nucleotides in length. Their secondary structure includes four short double-helical elements and three loops (D, anti-codon, and T loops). The record is from Rfam. Lineage: Eukaryota; Fungi; Basidiomycota; Agaricomycetes; Boletales; Suillaceae.